RNAcentral lists this transfer RNA (72 nucleotides) under Mycobacteroides abscessus subsp. abscessus. Its description in RNAcentral is "tRNA-Ala(tgc)". Lineage: Bacteria; Bacillati; Actinomycetota; Actinomycetes; Mycobacteriales; Mycobacteriaceae. The record is from RNAcentral. RNAcentral also lists the same sequence under 1 other name.
GGGCGCAUGUUCCAAGGUUGGCGACCGAUCCUUGCAAGAUUGGUGGGUGCGUUCGAUUCGCACCGUUUCCAC